UCAAGAAACUUCCACAAUGGGCGAAAGCCUGAUGGAGCGACGUCGCGUGAUGGACGAAGUGCUUCGGCACGUAAACAUCUUUUAUGUGGGAUGAAAUUAUUGACAGUACCACAUGAAUAAGGGGCUCCUAACUCUGUGCCAGCAGGAGCGGUAAUACAGAGGCCCCAAGCGUUAUCCGGAAUCACUGGGCGUAAAGGGUGUCGAGGCGGUUGUAUUAGUCGUUCGUAAAAUCUACGAGCUUAACUUGUAGGCGGCGAACGAAACGGUACGACUUGAGGUUUGGAGAGGUGCGUGGAACUCACGGUGUAGGGGUGAAAUCCGUUGAUAUCGUGGGGAACACCAAAGGCGAAGGCAGCGCACUGGCCAAAAUCUGACGCUCACACACGAAAGCUAGGGUAGCGAAGAGGAUUAGAUACCCAGGUACCUGAGCGGGCUGGCAAGGCGCAU
This 447-nucleotide ribosomal RNA is filed under the name uncultured bacterium. RNAcentral describes it as "bacterial SSU rRNA". It matches the Rfam family "Bacterial small subunit ribosomal RNA", at positions 355 to 825 of the family's 1533-position model. The record is from RNAcentral.